This 74-nucleotide transfer RNA is filed under the name Victivallales bacterium. RNAcentral describes it as "tRNA-Gln". It matches the Rfam family "tRNA". Rfam says of the family: Transfer RNA (tRNA) molecules are approximately 80 nucleotides in length. Their secondary structure includes four short double-helical elements and three loops (D, anti-codon, and T loops). Further hydrogen bonds mediate the characteristic L-shaped molecular structure. tRNAs have two regions of fundamental functional importance: the anti-codon, which is responsible for specific mRNA codon recognition, and the 3' end, to which the tRNAs corresponding amino acid is attached (by aminoacyl-tRNA synthetases). tRNAs cope with the degeneracy of the genetic code in two manners: having more than one tRNA (with a specific anti-codon) for a particular amino acid; and 'wobble' base-pairing, i.e. permitting non-standard base-pairing at the 3rd anti-codon position. Lineage: Bacteria; Pseudomonadati; Lentisphaerota; Lentisphaeria; Victivallales. The record is from RNAcentral.
UACCCCGUUGUGUAAUGGUAGCACUACUGGUUUUGGUCCAGUCAGUCCAGGUUCGAAUCCUGGCGGGGUAGCCA